Molecule: long non-coding RNA, 885 nt
Filed under: Gossypium raimondii (Peruvian cotton)
Lineage: Eukaryota; Viridiplantae; Streptophyta; Magnoliopsida; Malvales; Malvaceae
Description: long non-coding RNA (GRAI_LNC008997)
Source: RNAcentral
UGGGAUGCUGCUGGGCCUUCGGCUGUUGGGCUGCUGCUGGUUUUUCUUUGGCAGGCCUGCUCUUGCUUCUUCUUGGGCUGUUUUUUUCUUUCUUUUGGGCUGUUUUUUUUGUGUUGCUUUUUUCUUUUUCUUUUUUUUUUACUUAUUUUUUGGGCUGUUGGGUUUGGGUUGCGGGUCGCGGGUCGGUCGGGUCGGGUCGGUUUGACCCGACUGUAAAAAAAUUUAUUUUCUUAUUUUCUUAUUUUUUUCUUUUUCUUUUUUCUUUUUUCUUUUUCUUCUUCCUUCUUUCUCUUUUUUCUUCUUUUUUUCUUUCUUCUUCUUUCUUUCUUUCUUCCCCGUUCAGCCCCCACCGACUUCUCUGCUGUUGCCGGCGCUUCCUCCGCCUGCGGUGCGACGGCCGACGACGCUCCUCCCUUUUUCUUUUUUCUUCUUUGCUCUUUUUCUUUCUCUUUUUUUUUUCUUUUGCUUAAGAUUUUUUUUUUUGCUUCUUUGCUUCUUGGUUUGUUUUGCUAGGUGUUGGGACGGCGGUGACGGUGAUGUCGUGGUGGUGGGCACGGUGGCGCGCGGUGGAGCUGCCGUUUUUUGUGUUUUUUCGCUCAAAAAUUUGUUUUUUUCUUUUUUUUUCUUGUUUCUCUUUUUUUGGCUUCCUCCAAAUUUUGGGGGUUUAAAACCCCUUUUAUUGUUGAUUUUUUUGCUCCUUUUGCAGGUGGUAGGUGGCUAGGGGAGAAUGAGGCCAUGCCUUAGGUCGGCCGCUGCAGUGUAGGUGCGCAACUUGCGCUGAUUGCUGCCAGAGGGACCAAAAUGUAAUGGCAGCAAAACUUUUGGGGUUGAAACGUUAUUUUGAGAAAGUUUAGGGGUUAAAAUGUAAUUUUGAGAAAGUUUGGG